AUAAGAAGCUGCCUGUGAUGUUGCAGAGUGGCCAUGUUGACUAGUGCUGACGAGCGGAGGCGAUGGGAGAUGGGAGUGGGGCCGUAUUUCCUGCGUUUGGAGCGGAGACCCAGUUAGGAGUCUCUGCUUAUUUGGAGAUGAGGCUGGAUUUCCUCCUCUCGCAUUCCCUUGGAGCAAAGACGGGAGAAAAUCCACAGAGCGGCUCUCUGGCUCUUGGUGAUCCUCGUUUGGAUUAUCCAGAAAGAAAG
Poecilia latipinna (sailfin molly) is the source of this 248-nucleotide long non-coding RNA. RefSeq lists it as uncharacterized. NCBI's taxonomy places the organism in Eukaryota, Metazoa, Chordata, Actinopteri, Cyprinodontiformes, Poeciliidae. The transcript has 2 exons. The record is from RefSeq and is a predicted model, not a curated record.